CUGAAUGGGCUAGGGCAUACACCAAUGUACCAAACCCUAUCAAACUCCGAAUACCUUAUAUGUAAUCACAGCAGUCAGGCGGCGAGUGAUAAAAUCCGUCGUCAAGAGGGAAACAACCCAGACUACCAGCUAAGGUCCCUAAAUCUUACUUAAGUGGAAAACGAUGUGAAGUUACUUAAACAACCAGGAGGUUGGCUUAGAAGCAGCCAUCCUUUAAAGAAAGCGUAAUAGCUCACUGGUCUAGUGAUUUUGCGCGGAAAAUAUAACGGGGCUAAAGUAAGUACCGAAGCUGUAGACUUAGUUUACUAAGUGGUAGGAGAGCGUUCUAUUUGCGUCGAAGGUAUACCGGUAAGGAGUGCUGGAGCGAAUAGAAGUGAGCAUGCAGGCAUGAGUAGCGAUAAUUAAUGUGAGAAUCAUUAACGCCGUAAACCCAAGGUUUCCUACGCGAUGCUCGUCAUCGUAGGGUUAGUCGGGUCCUAAGUCGAGUCCGAAAGGGGUAGACGAUGGCAAAUUGGUUAAUAUUCCAAUACCAACAUUAGUGUGCGAUGGAAGGACGCUUAGGGCUAAGGGGGCUAGCGGAUGGAAGUGCUAGUCUAAGGUCGUAGGAGGUUAUACAGGCAAAUCCGUAUAACAAUACUCCGAGAACUGAAAGGCUUUUUGAAGUCUUCGGAUGGAUAGAAGAACCCCUGAUGCCGUCGAGCCAAGAAAAGUUUCUAAGUUUAGCUAAUGUUGCCCGUACCGUAAACCGACACAGGUGGGUGGGAUGAGUAUUCUAAGGCGCGUGGAAGAACUCUCUUUAAGGAACUCUGCAAAAUAGCACCGUAUCUUCGGUAUAAGGUGUGGUUAGCUUUGUAUUAGGAUUUACUCCGAAAGCAAGGAAACUUACAACAAAGAGUCCCUCCCGACUGUUUACCAAAAACACAGCACUCUGCUAACUCGUAAGAGGAUGUAUAGGGUGUGACGCCUGCCCGGUGCUCGAAGGUUAAUUGAUGGGGUUAGCAUUAGCGAAGCUCUUGAUCGAAGCCCGAGUAAACGGCGGCCGUAACUAUAACGGUCCUAAGGUAGCGAAAUUCCUUGUCGGUUAAAUACCGACCUGCAUGAAUGGCGUAACGAGAUGGGAGCUGUCUCAAAGAGGGAUCCAGUGAAAUUGUAGUGGAGGUGAAAAUUCCUCCUACCCGCGGCAAGACGGAGAGACCCCGUGGACCUUUACUACAGCUUGACACUGCUACUUGGAUAAGAAUGUGCAGGAUAGGUGGGAGGCUUUGAGUAUAUGACGCCAGUUGUAUAUGAGCCAUUGUUGAGAUACCACUCUUUCUUAUUUGGGUAGCUAACCAGCUUGAGUUAUCCUCAAGUGGGACAAUGUCUGGUGGGUAGUUUGACUGGGGCGGUCGCCUCCCAAAUAAUAACGGAGGCUUACAAAGGUUGGCUCAGAACGGUUGGAAAUCGUUCGUAGAGUAUAAAGGUAUAAGCCAGCUUAACUGCAAGACAUACAAGUCAAGCAGAGACGAAAGUCGGUCUUAGUGAUCCGGUGGUUCUGUGUGGAAGGGCCAUCGCUCAAAGGAUAAAAGGUACCCCGGGGAUAACAGGCUGAUCUCCCCCAAGAGCUCACAUCGACGGGGAGGUUUGGCACCUCGAUGUCGGCUCAUCGCAUCCUGGGGCUGGAGCAGGUCCCAAGGGUAUGGCUGUUCGCCAUUUAAAGCGGUACGCGAGCUGGGUUCAGAACGUCGUGAGACAGUUCGGUCCCUAUCUGCCGUGGGCGUAAGAAGAUUGAAGAGAUUUGACCCUAGUACGAGAGGACCGGGUUGAACAAACCACUGGUGUAGCUGUUGUUCUGCCAAGAGCAUCGCAGCGUAGCUAAGUUUGGAAAGGAUAAACGCUGAAAGCAUCUAAGCGUGAAGCCAACUCUAAGAUGAAUCUUCUCUAAGCUCUCUAGAAGACUACUAGUUUGAUAGGCUGGGUGUGUAAUGGAUGAAAGUCCUUUAGCUGACCAGUACUAAUAGAGCGUUUGGCUUAUCUUU
RNAcentral lists this ribosomal RNA (2018 nucleotides) under Campylobacter jejuni. Its description in RNAcentral is "partial 23S ribosomal RNA". It matches the Rfam family "Bacterial large subunit ribosomal RNA", at positions 910 to 2925 of the family's 2925-position model. Lineage: Bacteria; Pseudomonadati; Campylobacterota; Epsilonproteobacteria; Campylobacterales; Campylobacteraceae. The record is from RNAcentral.